This 645-nucleotide ribosomal RNA is filed under the name uncultured Cortinarius. Its description in RNAcentral is "eukaryotic LSU rRNA". It matches the Rfam family "Eukaryotic large subunit ribosomal RNA", at positions 1 to 626 of the family's 3401-position model. The record is from RNAcentral. Lineage: Eukaryota; Fungi; Basidiomycota; Agaricomycetes; Agaricales; Cortinariaceae.
GUGACCUCAAAUCAGGUAGGACUACCCGCUGAACUUAAGCAUAUCAAUAAGCGGAGGAAAAGAAACUAACAAGGAUUCCCCUAGUAACUGCGAGUGAAGCGGGAAAAGCUCAAAUUUAAAAUCUGGCGGUCUUUUGGCUGUCCGAGUUGUAAUCUAGAGAAGUGUUAUCCGCGCUGGACCGUGUACAAGUCUCCUGGAAUGGAGCAUCAUAGAGGGUGAGAAUCCCGUCUUUGACAUGGACUGCCAGGGCUUUGUGAUGCGCUCUCAAAGAGUCGAGUUGUUUGGGAAUGCAGCUCAAAAUGGGUGGUAAAUUCCAUCUAAAGCUAAAUAUUGGCGAGAGACCGAUAGCGAACAAGUACCGUGAGGGAAAGAUGAAAAGAACUUUGGAAAGAGAGUUAAACAGUACGUGAAAUUGCUGAAAGGGAAACGCUUGAAGUCAGUCACGUUGUCCAGGGAUCAACCUUGCUUUUGCUUGGUGCACUUUCUGGUUCGACGGGUCAGCAUCAAUUUCGAUCGUUGGAAAAAGGCCAAGGGAAUGUGGCAUCUUUGGAUGUGUUAUAGCCCUUUAUCACAUACAAUGGUUGGGAUUGAGGAACUCAGCACGCCGCAAGGCCGGGUUUUAAACCACGUACGUGCUUAGGAUGC